UUUGUGUCCCCUGUCGACGUCUACGUCCCUAGCCUACUUCUGCCUACACAGUCUGUCUAUUUUGCUAUUGCGUCCCCUGCCACAAUGUCUGCAGUUUGCCUGAGUCUUGGUUCUACUUAUGUCCUCCUGCUGCAGUGCCUAUCUUGGUUUUGCCUGCGUCCCUUGUCGUAGUGCCUGCAUUGGUUCUGCUUGCAUCCCUUAACUCCAGGUUUGGCCUACGUCCCUUGCCCCAAUACUUAUGUUUUUCCUACUUGCGUCCUCUUACCACAGGUGCUUCCAUCUAGUUAUAGCGCACUGCCUGGGUUACUCGAUUUUCCCAAUUGCAACCUGGACAUAUCGACUGUGACCAUUCUCUCCCACCAAAUUUGGCGGCGCCGUCAUCGCCAUGUACUGUCAAAGCUGGGGCCUAAUUUGCUAUCUGCCUAUCUCCUAUUCCCACUUAAUACCAUGACAUUCUCGUAGUACGCCAAGGCUGAAGACACUCCUUAUGAUCCGUGACGCUAGGCAACAAAUAAAACUGAACUGUGACCUCUUUUAAACGUCGUCGUCACAUCCUUAAUUACGUCCCGCCGGACGCCAAACUCGGAUUCCAUGACAAUAAUAUCCAUUUUGGUUCCACACAUUAUACGGUCCAUCCCUCUCUCUACUCGGCGAUUCCCUCUUCUCUCUCACUUUGCUAAAAGUCGGUUGACAAAAUUUCAGUUUUUAGGUCAAUUCUCACUCGAACUUGAAGUAAAUGGUUUAUUUUUAUGGAGGGUUGGUUUUAUUAUUGUCGUGUAUAUC
Molecule: long non-coding RNA, 783 nt
Filed under: Olea europaea subsp. europaea
Lineage: Eukaryota; Viridiplantae; Streptophyta; Magnoliopsida; Lamiales; Oleaceae
Source: RNAcentral